This 19-nucleotide transfer RNA is filed under the name Pseudobombax grandiflorum. RNAcentral's name for it is "partial tRNA-Ser". The record is from RNAcentral. Lineage: Eukaryota; Viridiplantae; Streptophyta; Magnoliopsida; Malvales; Malvaceae.
UUGCGUGCUGUAACAUAGU